CAAAUGUCCCCUGUUUUGGGGGGAGAGGGCGGACAAAAUGGUCCCCGGUUGAGAACCACUGCCUAGAGUAUUGCAGAGCCACAAGAUGGCAGGAGUGUGAGUCCCUCCAUCACCAUGAAAUAGAAAGCCCACCAGGAAUUACUGCACUGGAUGAUCGAGCCGUGGAAAAUUUGAGGUUUGUUAGUUACAGCAUCUGGUGGUACCUAACCAAACACACCACUUAGAUCUGCUUUGCAAGUUGGACUUGUGUGUGAGAUUCCUUUUAAAGAAAGAGUUUCCUCAAAAAGAAUGAAAUGAACAAAACCUUUGAAAACUUUUGACCCAGUUCAGUCUCUUCCUUUUACAGACCAGGACCAGGUACAAAGAAGCGAGGUGACUUGUCCAAGAUCUCACAGCUAGUGAGUUGCAGAGGCAAGCCCAAAACUCAGGCCUCCAGAGGCUUCAUCCAGUGCCCUAACCUGAAGUCUCCCACCUCUAACCCUCUCCAGUCAACAACAGGUGGAGGUGAUAAAACCAGCCACUUUGAAAAGCAGCACUGUCUCAAAGGCCUGGGUACCGUUUAACUUGGCCAAAACUUGGGCUGAUGUCACCCUAGUCCUGCAGUUUGGAUAACGGUUCCCGGAAUUAAACUUCAGGCCUCAGGAUGUCUGAGCUGGGGGCUAAUUGUUGAAUUGUCCCAAGCCAACAACAUUGUAAAAAAAUAAUUUCAUCUUAAUUGCUCAUGGGGAAAAAAGCAAAGAAGUGUGUAGACAUUUGGGGACCUAUGUGCUUUGUUAAACUAAACUACUAACAAUCUUGGACAAAGCAGUUUGGACAGUCUGCUGAGCUGGGUUAUUGUUAAGAGAUUCAAUCUUUAGAUACUCAGCUUUUCUAUAUUAUGUUGCAACAUUUGUUGCUUAACCUUUUUGCAUCAUUUUGAAUAGGAAAGUACUGCAGCACUGAAAAUUUCUUUACAAGUCGUCUAGCUCCUUGCUACUUGAAGUGUGUCCGUGGACUGACCGGCAGCAUUGGCAUCAUCCAAAGGCUUGCUAGAAACGCAGACUUUUAG
This 1048-nucleotide long non-coding RNA is filed under the name Equus caballus (horse). Its description in RNAcentral is "lncRNA (ENSECAG00000051790.1)". Lineage: Eukaryota; Metazoa; Chordata; Mammalia; Perissodactyla; Equidae. The record is from RNAcentral.